GAUAUCAAAGAUUUUAUCGCUUGAAGAUGGACUCGCGUCCGAUUAGUUAGUUGGUGAGGUAACGGCUCACCAAGACCGCGAUCGGUAGCCGGACUGAGAGGUUGAACGGCCACAUUGGGACUGAGACACGGCCCAGACUCCUACGGGAGGCAGCAGUGGGGGAUAUUGCGCAAUGGGGGCAACCCUGACGCAGCAACGCCGCGUGAAGGAUGAAGGUUUUCGGAUUGUAAACUUCUUUUAUUAAGGACGAAACUUGACGGUACUUAAUGAAUAAGCUCCGGCUAACUACGUGCCAGCAGCCGCGGUAAUACGUAGGGAGCAAGCGUUGUCCGGAUUUACUGGGUGUAAAGGGUGCGUAGGCGGCUUUGCAAGUCAGAUGUGAAAUCUAUGGGCUCAACCCAUAAACUGCAUUUGAAACUGUAGAGCUUGAGUGAAGUAGAGGCAGGCGGAAUUCCCCGUGUAGCGGUGAAAUGCGUAGAGAUGGGGAGGAACACCAGUGGCGAAGGCGGCCUGCUGGGCUUUAACUGACGCUGAGGCACGAAAGCGUGGGUAGCAAACAGGAUUAGAUACCCUGGUAGUCCACGCUGUAAACGAUGAUUACUAGGUGUGGGGGGUCUGACCCCUUCCGUGCCGGAGUUAACACAAUAAGUAAUCCACCUGGGGAGUA
RNAcentral lists this ribosomal RNA (667 nucleotides) under uncultured bacterium. Its description in RNAcentral is "bacterial SSU rRNA". It matches the Rfam family "Bacterial small subunit ribosomal RNA", at positions 197 to 882 of the family's 1533-position model. The record is from RNAcentral.